Non-coding RNA from Malus domestica (apple), 193 nucleotides. RefSeq annotates it as microRNA MIR319h. Lineage: Eukaryota; Viridiplantae; Streptophyta; Magnoliopsida; Rosales; Rosaceae. The record is from RefSeq and is marked provisional.
AUAUAUGAAAGGAGCUCUUCUUCAGUCCAGUCCUUGGCAGUUUAAGGGCUGGCACUCAGCUGCUGACUCGUUGGUUCAAAAACUCAUCAUACAUUUGCUAAAAGAAGUGGUGUUUUUCUGAUCCAACGAAGCAGGAGCCGAGAGGUUGGUUAUUGCUGUCACGUCUUGGACUGAAGGGAGCUCCUUACCUAUA